RNAcentral lists this unclassified non-coding RNA (811 nucleotides) under Hevea brasiliensis (rubber tree). The record is from RNAcentral. Lineage: Eukaryota; Viridiplantae; Streptophyta; Magnoliopsida; Malpighiales; Euphorbiaceae.
GUCAUCCUCUAGUGUAUCGUCUUCAUCGUCGAGUUCAUCCAAUUCAUCUAGUAAUGACUGGUUCACUCUUUUACGAGAUUGUCGCCUAUAUUUCUUGGGCUCUAGCCGCGGUUCUGCUUGCACAACUCCCUUGUCUCCUACUUUGCACCUAACAUCACUUUCUCGUUUAGUUCCAAUGGUCCUCAACUGAAACUCCUCCCUGAUCUUAAUUUCGUCAAGCAACUGAAGAUAAUAUGGGUAUCUUUCCCAAUCACCUUUUAUAAGGCAGCCCGGUUCACCAAGAUGCAAGCAAUUAUUGAAUGCACACUUUGCAGGUUCACUAUCUUUAAGCACUUUGCGGAUCUCCGGAAAAUGAUGUGCAAGAGAAUUCUUUGUCACUUUAAUCAAACUAGGCUGGUUAAAUCCUGGCGUAUCAGCAAGAUACCCCCCAUCAGGCAAUGGAAGCAAAGACACGUGCCUCGUCGUAUGCUUUCCUCUGCCACUUCUUACUGACACUUCCCCCACACGCUGCUCUUCAUACCACUUGCUCCCUAGAAUAGGAUCAAACCAGUUUUUCUCUUCGACUGCACCAAGAAUGUGUUUAUUGUCUCUUAAAGCAUUGAUCAGGCUGGAUUUUCCCACACCACUUGGACCAACAAUGACAGAUGUUUGUUCUCUCAUAAUAAACUGGAGUGUAUCAAGUCCACGCUUGGAAUCAACGCUGCAAAAGAUUGGUUCAUAGGCCCAACUACGAAGCCUAGAUUUCCAUGCUUUUAUUUCCUCUUGAGAAACAAGUUCUGAUUUAUUCAAGGCAAGAGUAAGAGGAAUUCCG